This is a long non-coding RNA of Lagopus leucura (white-tailed ptarmigan), 219 nucleotides long. RefSeq lists it as uncharacterized. The record is from RefSeq and is a predicted model, not a curated record. The transcript has 2 exons. NCBI's taxonomy places the organism in Eukaryota, Metazoa, Chordata, Aves, Galliformes, Phasianidae.
GUUCUGCGUGGACAACGGGGCGAUGAUCGCUCAGGCCGGAUGGGAGAUGCUGCGCAGCGGGCAGAUAACGGACAUCCGGGACUCCGGCAUCACGCAGAGGUACCGCACGGAUGAGGUGGAGGUCACGUGGAGGGACUGACCUUUGAACUUUGAACUUUGAACUUUGAACUUUGACUCCCAAUGAAGCUCGGCUUCCUCCCCCCCCUCCCUAAUCCCAAA